Molecule: RNA transcript, 10503 nt
Organism: Tupaia belangeri chinensis (Chinese tree shrew)
Lineage: Eukaryota; Metazoa; Chordata; Mammalia; Scandentia; Tupaiidae
Gene: SRRM2
Gene name: serine/arginine repetitive matrix 2
Exons: 15
Source: RefSeq, a predicted model, not a curated record
UUUGCCCCUUCCUUAGGCUUUCCUGGGAUAAUUUUCCCUAACGUAUUUAUGUUCUGUAAAACUGUUUUGAAGAAGAUGAGUUGGAAAAAGAAACAGUACAUAUAGCAGGAGAAAGGAAUAGAAUAUGUUUAGCCAAGGAAUCUAAACAGAAAAAUGGGCUUGAGGAUUCUUCCAAGCCAUGCUAGACUUGGGACAGGUUCAGAGGAUAGAACCUGUGGGAGGCCUGGGGAACAGGUAGAGGGAUUGGGAGAGAGAAACUAGCAGGUGUAAUACAGGUGAUUGAUAGGGAAAGUCACAGUUGGACAUCGACAAAAGAGGUAGAGAGUGAGUUUUCUAGGUAAGUUGAGGCAAGGUAUGAGAGUAGUUGAAACAGGCCGCUAGUUUGAUGUGUUUAAAUACAUUGAGUUCAAAAUAGGUACUAUUUAGCAAGAGUUGGAGGAGCUGAAAGUCAUGUGGCAGAUCUUAUUGGGAAGGAAAUUGGAGGAAUAAAAUAUCAGGGUAGUUGAUAGAAGCUGUAAGUAGUUGGAGUAAGGAAAUGGCUUCUUACCUGGGAGGUGAAGUAUAAAGUUAAUGUGUCCAAGUUCAUGUAUAUCUCUGGCGUGCAUGGUGGCCUUUAGUCUGGGUGUGAGGCUGCUAGGACACUUCUGAUUUAUCUCUACCAACCAGUUUACCUGUUCAGGUAUCUAGGGGCUGUAUAGUCCAUUUUGUGUUUAUGCAGAAUAACCUGAAAUCCUUAGGUAAGUUCUCAGGAGAGUGUUUGGAUACUGGCUGCAGGCCCUUGGGUGCCACAGAUCUAUGUUUGGUGUUUAUUGUGCUCUGUUUUGAAGCCUUGGUCAGUUACCAGAGGUUAGGAAUUAGAGUAGUUGGUGAAGACACCAUUUGUGUAUUGGGGCCAAAGGAGAAUAAAAGGACAGCGUAGAGAGAUCAAGAGAAACAGGAUUCUUGUUUGCCUGGGGUGGAAAAAGAAGAAAGUCCAGGUGCAAGGAAGGAUGAUUUAGAAUUUUGUGCAAGAGCAUUGGGCAAAAGUCUGAAAGAACUGGGCUAUGAUUUGGUGGAAAGGAAACUGGGAAGGAUAAAGAAAGGGCUUUUGUUAGACUAGGAGAAUGAAGAAGCAUUAUGUAGCUAAAGGAGAUUUAGUGUGACGAUAAAUGUUGAAAUAGGGAUGAAGAGCAGGGCCUUGGGUGGUGGUUAAGUUGUUAGUUUGGGGCCAGGGGCCUGACCCGUAUCUCCCCGCUCCCCCCCAGGAGCGGUGGUGCCCCCCCUCCCCGGGCACGGGGCCAUGUACAACGGGAUCGGGCUGCCGACGCCCCGGGGCAGCGGCACCAACGGCUACGUCCAGCGCAACCUGUCCCUGGUGCGGGGCCGCCGGGGUGAGCGGCCUGACUACAAGGGAGAGGAGGAACUGCGGCGCCUGGAGGCUGCCCUGGUGAAGCGGCCUAAUCCUGACAUCCUGGACCACGAGCGCAAGCGGCGCGUGGAGCUGCGAUGCCUCGAGCUGGAGGAGAUGAUGGAAGAGCAGGGGUACGAGGAACAGCAGAUUCAGGAAAAAGUGGCGACCUUUCGACUCAUGCUGCUGGAGAAGGAUGUGAACCCUGGGGGAAAGGAUGAGACCCCAGGGCAGAGGCCAGCGGUAACUGAGACUCACCAGUUAGCAGAAUUGAAUGAGAAGAAGAAUGAGCGUCUCCGUGCUGCCUUUGGCAUCAGUGAUUCCUAUGUGGAUGGCAGCUCUUUUGAUCCUCAGCGUCGAGCUCGGGAAACUAAACAGCCAGUUCCUGAGCCUCCCAAACCUUACAGCCUUGUCCGAGAGUCUAGUAGCUCUCGUUCACCAACUCCAAAGCAAAAAAAGAAGAAAAAGAAGAAAGACAGAGGACGCAGGUCAGAGAGCAGCUCUCCUCGACGGGAGAGAAAGAAGAGCUCAAAGAAGAAGAAGCACAGGUCAGAAUCUGAGUCUAAGAAACGGAAGCAUAGGUCUCCCACUCCAAAGAGCAAGCGUAAAUCUAAGGACAAGAAGCGGAAACGGUCUCGAAGUACAACACCAGCUCCCAAGAGCCGCAGGGCACACCGUUCAACUUCUGCUGAUUCUGCUUCCUCCUCUGAUACUUCCCGUAGUCGGUCUCGAAGUGCUGCAGCUAAAAUCCAUACAGCUAACUUGACUGGGAGAAGCCCUUCUCCUGCCUCAGGGCGUCGAGGGGAGGGAGAUGCACCUUCCAAUGAACCAAGUACCACUAGCACACAACGGCCCAGCAGUCCAGAGCCUUCUACAAAGCAACCUAGUAGCCCUCAUGAAGACAAAGAUAAAGACAAGCCUGAGAAACCUGCAGCUCGACCUAGCCCCUCUCCAGAAAGGAGCAGCACAGGCCCAGAACCAUCUGUUCCCACUCCGCUCCUUGCUGAGCAACAUGGCAACUCCAUACAGCCUCUUGCAACAACCCCUUUAGGUCAAGAGCCAGUGAAUCCCCCAUCUGAGGCUUCUCCAACCCAGGGCCAUUCACCACCUAAAUCUCCUGAGAAACCUCAGUCAUCUUCAGAGAGCUGCCCACCAUCCCCUCAACCUACCAAAGUUUCUAGGCGUGCCAGCUCUUCCCCUGAAAGUUCUAAACCUGCACCAGCUUCUGGGGCCCGUCGAGAGAUUUCUUCUUCUCCCACAUCCAAGACUCGUUCACAUGGCCGAGCAAAGAGAGAUAAAUCACAUUCUCGCACCCCUUCCCGUAGGGUAGGGAGGUCCCGGAGCCCUACCACUACUAAGAGGGGGAGAUCGCGAUCUCGAACCCCUACCAAGAGAGGUCAUUCUAGGUCCCGGUCCCCUCAGUGGCGUAGGUCCCGGUCUGCACAGAGGUGGGGAAGGUCUAGGAGCCCCCAGAGACGUGGCCGCUCUAGGUCUCCUCAGCGACCAGGCUGGUCAAGGAGCAGAACUAACCAGAGAAGAGGCAGGUCUAGGUCAACAAGACGAGGCAGAUCACAAUCUAGAUCCCCAGCCACAAGGGGCAGGUCUCGUUCUAGAACACCAGCCCGUCGAGGCAGAUCCCGCUCUAGAACACCUGCUCGGCGAAGGUCACGGUCCAGGACACCUGCUAGACGUAGGUCUCGUUCAAGAACACCAGCCCGAAGGGGUAGGUCUAGGUCUAGAACACCUGCCAGGCGCAGAUCUAGGACCCGGUCACCAGUGCGACGGAGAUCUCGUAGUAGAUCACCAGCCAGGAGAAGUGGAAGGUCACGCUCUAGAACCCCAGCCAGGCGGGGGAGGUCGCGUUCUAGAACCCCAGCUAGACGCGGUGGUCGCUCGCGCUCUAGAACUCCAGCCAGACGUGGUGGUCGGUCACGCUCUAGAACUCCAGCAAGGAGAGGGAGAUCUCGGUCCAGGACACCAGCAAGACGAAGAUCUCGUAGUAGAAGUCUGGUUAGACGUGGAAGAUCUCAUUCUAGAACACCACAAAGAAGAGGCAGGUCUGGUUCAUCAUCGGAGAGGAAGAACAAAUCCAGAACAUCUCAAAGAAGGAGUAGGUCUAACUCAAGCCCAGAAGUUAAAAAAUCUCGUGUGUCUUCAAGGCGGAGCAGGUCUCUUUCUUCACCACGAUCCAAAGCAAAAUCUCGCUUGUCUUUGAGGCGAAGCCUUUCAGGGUCCUCUCCGUGCCCUAAACAGAAGUCACAGACACCACCCAGGCGUAGUCGCUCUGGAUCAUCCCAACCUAAAGCUAAAUCUAGAACACCACCUAGGCGCAGUCGCUCUGGUUCUUCUCUGUCACCUAAACAGAAAUCUAAAACACCAUCUAGACAAAGUCAUUCAAGUUCAUCUCCUCACUCUAAAGUGAAAUCUGGAACACCACCCAGGCAAGGGCCUGUAGCAAGUCCCCAGGUGAAUGAACAAUCUGUGACACCUCAAAGACAGAGCCGUUCUGAAUCAUCACCUGACCCUGAGGUGAAAUCUAGGACCCCUUCAAGACAAAGCUAUUCUGGGUCCUCUCCUAGAAUGAAAUCUAGCACACCUCCAAAACAGAGCCCAUCCAGAUUGUCAUCUCCACAAUCCAAAGGGAGGCUAGUGUCGCCAAGACGACAAAGCCAUUCUGGCUCCUCUUCUCCAAGUCCUACUCGGAUGACAUCUAGAACGCCUCCAAGGCAAAGCAGGUCAGUGUCUCCCUGCUCUAAGGUGGAAUCUAUAUUGCUGCCAAGACAUAGUCGUUCUAGGUCCUCCUCACCAGAUACCAAAGUAAAACCUAGAACACCACCAGGACAAAGUCACUCAGGGUCUGUUUCACCGUGCCCCAAAGUAAAGCCCCAUACUUCACCAGGGCAAAAUGUUUCUGCAUCAAAGUCACCAUGUCCUCAAGAGAAGUCUAGUGACUUACCAGCACAAAGUUGCUCUGGAUCCUUAAGCCUCUCUCCAGUAAAAUCUAGUUCACCACUAAGAGAGAGUCAUUUCAGAUCCUUAUCUCUGCAACAGAAAGGACAAUCCCAAACGUCACCAGAUCCCAGAUCUGAUACUUCAAGCCCAGAGGUAAAACAGAGUCACUUAGAAUCUCCAUCUUUGCAGAACAAAUCUCAGACACCACCUAAGGGUGGCCAGUCUAGGUCUUCAUCUCCAGUCACUGAGCUGGCACCCAUAUCUCCAAGACCAGACCGAAGUGAACUGUCGGCAAGUCCUAGGCUGAAAUCUGGAAUGUCACCUGAGCAGAGCAGGUCCCAGUCUGACUCUUUCUCAUAUACUGCAAUAGACGCUAAAUCUUGCCUGGGGCAGAGUAGAUCAGAGCCUUCUGAAUCAAAAGAGAAAGCUGGUUUACCUCUUCAGGGAGAUGUUAGUACAUCAUCACCUAGACUACGAGACAGGUUUAGUCCUUCUCCAGUGCAAGAUAGGCCUGAGUCUUCGCUGGUACCGAAAGACACACCUGAAACCCCAUCAAAGGAAAGAAGUGCUGCUGGGUCAUCUCCAGAUACAAAAGACCAAAGUAGUACAUUAGCUAAGUCAAACCAAGAUGAUGAACUAAUGGAGAUAGAGAAAUCGGAAGAAUCCUCCAACCAGGUUUUAUUCCAUUUGUCUCCAGAACUUAAAGAAAUGGUUGGAAAUAACUUUGAACCAUCUCCUGAUGUAGAAGAAAGGCCUGAUGUGUCUUUGACUCUUGACCAAAACCAGUCACAGGUUUCUUCAGAAGCAGAAGUCCCUACAGUGGCCUCAUCUUGGGGUGAGCCACAUUUUUCUCCAGAACAUAAAGAACUGUCUAGUUCUCCCCCGAGGGAGAAUAACUGUGGAUCGCUUUUAGAAUGUGGAAACUCAGGCCCUAUUGUUACAGACAUGAAUACUGGACUUUCUCCUGAGAUUAAAGAUGAUUUGAAUGAACCUUUCCUUAAUCAACUGGAGACAGAGCCAUCUCUAGACAUGAAAGAACAAUCAGCAAGAUCCUCCAGGCGCAGCAGUUCUGAGUUAUCCCCAGAUGCAGUGGAAAAGACAGGGAUGUCUUCAAAUCAGAGUGUCUCUUCUCCCGUACUUGAUAAUGUACCCAGAACACCCUCUAGAGAAAGAAGUAGUUCUGCAUCUUCUCCUGAACUGAAAGAUGGUUUACCCAGAACUCCAUCAAGGAGAAGUAGGUCUGGGUCUUCUCCAGGACUUAGAGAUGGCUCUGGGACUCCCUCAAGGCACAGCCUGUCUGGGUCCUCUCCUGGAAUGAAAGAUAUACCUAGAACACCGUCCAGGGGGAGAAGUGAAUGUGAUUCUUCCCCAGAACCAAAAGCUUUGCCUCAGACUCCUAGAGCAAGGAGUCAUUCUCCAUCAUCUCCAGAGCUCAAGUGUCUUACCCCCCAGAGAGAAAGAAGUGCAUCAGAAUCCUCAGUUGAACAGAAAGCUGAGACCAGGACACCUCUUGGGCAGAGAAGCCGGUCUGGAUCUUCUCAAGAACUUGAUGGGAAACCCAGUGCAUCUCCUCAGGAAAGGAGUGAGUCAGACUCUUCUCCUGAUUCCAAAGCCAAGAUACGACCCCCACUUAGACAGAGAAGUCGCUCUGGAUCAUCCCCAGAGGUUGACAGCAAAUCCCGACCUUCUCCUCAGCACAGUAGAUCUGGUUCCUCCCCUGAAUUGAAAGAUAAACCAAGAGUGGCACCCAGGGCACAGAGCGGUUCUGAUUCCUCUCCUGAACCCAAAACUCCUGCUGCUAGGGCCAUUCCCAGACGAAGCAGGUCCGGUUCAUCAAGCAAGGGCCGAGGACCUUCUCCUGACGGAAGUAGUAGUUCCGAGUCCUCUCCAGAACAUCCACCCAAAUCCAGAACUGCACGAAGAGGUUCCAGAUCAUCCCCUGAGCCCAAGACUAAGUCUCGCACACCACCUCGACGUCGAAGCUCUCGGUCAUCUCCUGAACUAGCUAGGAAAACCAGGCUUUCCCGAAGAAGCCGUUCUGCUUCAUCCUCACCAGAAACCCGCUCUAGAACUCCCCCAAGACGUCGAAGAAGUCCCUCAGUGUCUUCACCAGAACCAGCUGAAAAAUCGAGAUCUUCACGCCGACGGCGCUCAGCAUCAUCUCCACGCACCAAGACAACUUCAAGGAGAGGUCGUUCUCCUUCACCCAAGCCUCGUGGACUCCAGAGGUCUCGUUCUCGCUCAAGGAGGGAGAAAACCAGAACAACCCGACGUCGAGAUAGGUCUGGGUCUUCUCAAUCUACUUCUAGGAGAAGACAGAGGAGCAGGUCAAGGUCUCGGGUUACUCGGCGGAGGCGUGGAGGUUCUGGCUACCACUCACGGUCUCCUGCUCGACAGGAGAGUUCUCGAACUUCCUCUCGACGGAGAAGAGGUCGCUCUCGGACGCCCCCAGCCAGUCGGAAGCGUUCCCGCUCACGCACAUCACCAGCCCCAUGGAAACGCUCUAGGUCUCCAGCAGCACACCGGCGAUCCAGGUCCAGAACGCCCCUGAUCAGCCGCCGUAGGUCCAGAUCGCGAACCUCACCAGUCAGUCGGAGACGGUCAAGGUCUAGGACAUCAGUUACUCGCCGAAGGUCUCGGUCAAGGGCAUCCCCAGUGAGUCGAAGGCGAUCCAGGUCCAGAACACCUCCAGUAACUCGCCGUCGUUCAAGGUCCAGAACACCAGCCACACGACGGCGCUCCCGUUCCAGAACUCCACCAGUGACCCGCAGGAGGUCCAGGUCUAGAACUCCACUGGUAACAAGAAGGCGGUCUCGAAGCAGAACUUCACCUAUUACACGCAGAAGGUCAAGAUCUAGAACAUCCCCAGUUACUCGAAGGAGGUCACGCUCUCGAACCUCUCCGGUAACUCGAAGGAGGUCCCGCUCUCGAACCUCUCCCGUGACACGCCGCCGCUCUAGGUCACGAACACCACCUGCUAUCCGACGCCGCUCCAGGUCUCGAACACCACUUUUACCACGCAAACGUUCUCGAAGUCGCUCACCACUUGUUAUCCGCCGCCGUUCUAGAUCCCGUACUCCACGAACAACUCGGGGCAAACGGUCCCUCACGAGAUCUCCUCCAGCCAUCCGCAGGCGUUCUGCAUCUGGAAGUAGUUCUGAUCGUUCACGUUCUGCUACUCCUCCAACAACAAGAAAUCAUUCUGGUUCUCGGACCCCUCCAGUGGCACUCAAUAGCUCCAGAAUGAGCUGCUUUAGUCGUCCUAGCAUGUCACCAACUCCUCUUGACCGUUGUAGAUCACCUGGAAUGCUUGAACCCCUUGGUAGUUCUAGAACACCCAUGUCUGUCCUGCAGCAGGCUGGUGGCUCCAUGAUGGAUGGUCCAGGUCCCCGAAUACCUGAUCACCCUAGAACAUCUGUGCCAGAAAAUCAUGCUCAGUCUAGAAUUGCACUUGCCCUGACGGCCAUCAGUCUUGGCACUGCUCGGCCUCCUCCGUCCAUGUCUGCCGCUGGCCUUGCUGCAAGAAUGUCUCAGGUUCCAGCUCCGGUGCCUCUCAUGAGUCUCAGAACAGCCCCAGCUGCCAACCUUGCCAGCAGAAUUCCUCCUCCCUCUGCAGCAGCCAUGAACCUAGCCAGUGCCAGGACACCUGCUAUCCCAACAGCAGUAAAUCUGGCUGACUCACGAACACCAGCUGCAGCAGCAGCUAUGAACUUGGCCAGCCCCAGAACAGCAGUGGCACCUUCAACUGUGAACCUUGCAGACCCACGCACCCCCACCGCCCCAGCUGUGAACCUGGCAGGAGCCAGAACCCCAGCUGCCUUGGCAGCUCUAAGUCUCACAGGUUCUGGCACGCCCCCAACGGCUGCAAGUUACCCCUCCAGCUCCAGAACGCCACAGGCAGCCGCUCCUGCUAACCUGGUGGGUCCUCGAUCUGCACAUGCCACAGCUCCUGUGAAUAUUGCCAGCUCCAGAACUCCUGCUGCCUUGGCCCCUGCAAGUCUCACCAGUGCUAGGAUGGCUCCAGCAUUGUCUGGUGCAAACCUCACCAGCCCCAGGGUCCCCCUUUCUGCCUAUGAGCGUGUUAGCGGCAGGGCCUCACCACCGCUUCUUGACCGAGCUAGGUCCAGGACACCACCAUCUGCCCCGAGCCACUCUAGAAUGACCUCUGAGCGGGCUCCUUCCCCUGUCUCUAGAAUGGCCCAGGCCCCCUCGCAAUCUCUUCUCCCUCCAGCUCAGGAUCAGCCUAGGUCCCCUGCGCCAUCUGCUUUUUCAGACCAGUCCCGUACUUUGAUGGCCCAGACCACCUCUGUAGCAGGGUCUCAGUCCCUUUCUUCUGGGACAGUGGCAAAGGCUACGUCCUCUGCUGGUGACCACAAUGGUAUGCUCUCUGGCCCUGCUUCCGGGCUGUCCCAUCCUGAGGAUGGGGAGCCACCUGCUUCUACUGGGGCCCAGCAACCUUCUGCAUUGGCCGCCCUGCAGCCAGCAAAGGAGCGGCGGAGCUCUUCAUCAUCAUCCUCAUCCUCGAGCUCUUCCUCCUCUUCCUCCUCCUCAUCAUCAAGCUCCUCCUCUUCCUCUGGCUCCAGUUCUAGCGACUCGGAAGGCUCUAGCCUUCCCACUCAACCUGAGGUGGCACUGAAGAGGGUACCCACCCCGACCCCAGCACCAGAGGUGGUUCGGGAGGGUCGUCCUCCAGAGCCCACUCCAGCCAAGCGGAAGAGGCGUUCCAGCAGUUCCAGCUCCAGUUCCUCCUCCUCUUCCUCUUCCUCCUCCUCCUCCUCCUCUUCCUCUUCCUCCUCCUCCUCCUCCUCUUCCUCCUCCUCCUCCUCUUCCUCCUCUUCCUCUUCCCCCUCCCCUGCUAAGCCUGGUCCCCAGGCCUUGCCCAAACCUGCAAGCCCUAAGAAGCCACCCCCUGGUGAGCGGAGCCUCCUCCCUGUCUCCCUGCCUCCACGCCAUUCUCUUCCACACGUAGCCAGAGGGAUCUUUCUAAAACGCACACCUGGUUACUUCCCUCCACUCCACAAAUCCUUCCGGGACGCCCUGUGGCCUGCAGGAUAAAGCCCCACCUCUGCGGGAAUGGCGUGUGAGGCUCUUCACCAACUGGCCUUGCCCGCCCUGUGUUCUCCUCUCCUGCCCGCCCCCCACACAUGCCCUGUGCUCCAGCCAUACCCAGCGCCUUGCAGUCUAAGGAGAGCCCCAUGCCUUUGGACAUGCUGUUCCUUCUGCCUGGAAUUUCCUUGUCCGCCUGGUGAACUCCUCGUUCUGCAAGACUCCGCUCAAACCGCACCUUCGAGAAGACUGCCCUGCCCCUUUCCUGCCCUGCCCCAUGCCCUCCCACCUGCCCUGAGUCCCCAGACUCGUGCACAUCCAUCCUUGCGGGGCUGCUUCCCACACAUGGGGCCAUGCGUGCCUCCCUUGUUGGCCCUCUACCAGACUGAGCUCCUCCAAGGGCAGGGACUGUCUUUAUCUUUGCAUCCCCCGCUGCACCCUGUGCCCUGCCCUCUGGGGCACUCGGUGGAUGGUGUGCGGGCGGAUGGGUGAGCAAGCAGACAAAGGUGGGUUUGAGGCUGGCCCUGCGUGGUGUGAGGUGUGGUGGUCAGGACCUGGGUGGGUGGUCCUGAGUGCUGGCUGGUGGGUUUGGAAGGGUGUGGUACCAUGGAAUCUGCUCUGCUCCCCAGGUCCCGUAGCCCUCGGAAGCCAAUAGACUCUCUUCGGGACUCCCGGUCCCUCAGCUACUCACCUGUAGAGCGUCGCCGUCCUUCGCCUCAGCCCUCACCACGGGACCAGCAGAGGUCUCCAUAAUCACCUUGGGGAACUCCACCACACCCCAUACUCUGGAGCCACAGGGAGUGUCCUUUUUCCCCCAGCAAAGCCACGGGAGGGGUCCUUGUCUGGCCACCCCCUAAAACCCUGGCAGCAUUUUUGGGGAGGGCUCCCUGUUUCCCUCCCCCCUUUUUUCUUUGUUCCUGUGAAAUGUUUAUCUCUGUGAGUUUUUUCUGGUUCACGUGUUUUUGGGGGUUUAGGGUGGGAGGGAAUGCGUGGAUGGGAGUUUGAGGGGAGGAUGCAGUUUAGGACACCUGGGAUUCCCUAUAGGGCCUGGGAGGUGUGGUUUCCCUAUAUCCCCAAGUUCCUGGGGGAGGGGUUGAUGGUUUAGGAUUUGGGAAGUU